Molecule: ribosomal RNA, 485 nt
Filed under: uncultured Methylophilus sp.
Lineage: Bacteria; Pseudomonadati; Pseudomonadota; Betaproteobacteria; Nitrosomonadales; Methylophilaceae
Description: bacterial SSU rRNA
Rfam family: Bacterial small subunit ribosomal RNA
Source: RNAcentral
GCGCCCGUCCCGCCGCCCCCGCCCCCUACGGGAGGCAGCAGGGGGGAAUUUUGGACAAUGGGCGAAAGCCUGAUCCAGCCAUUCCGCGUGAGUGAAGAAGGCCUUCGGGUUGUAAAGCUCUUUCGCAAGGGAAGAAAACUUACCUUCUAAUAAAGGGUGAGGCUGACGGUACCUUGAUAAGAAGCACCGGCUAACUACGUGCCAGCAGCCGCGGUAAUACGUAGGGUGCGAGCGUUAAUCGGAAUUACUGGGCGUAAAGCGUGCGCAGGCGGUUUGGCAAGUCAGAUGUGAAAUCCCCGAGCUCAACUUGGGAACUGCGUUUGAAACUGCCAGACUAGAAUAUGUCAGAGGGGGGUAGAAUUCCACGUGUAGCAGUGAAAUGCGUAGAGAUGUGGAGGAAUACCAAUGGCGAAGGCAGCCCCCUGGGAUAAUAUUGACGCUCAUGCACGAAAGCGKGGGAGCAAACAGGAUUAGAACCCGGUUAG